AUGCGUGUGCAAAGUUUCAUGACUUUUCGACUAUGUUUAGGCCCUCAAAAAUGCGAUUCAUUUUGGAGAAGAAGAAGAAGAAGAAGAAGAAGAAGAAGAAGAAGAAUAAUAAUAAAUAUAGCUGCAAGCAGCGAUGGCGGGCCCGAGCCGUCAGCGCAAACGCCACCCCGGUGGCAUCAGGAAAGCUGUGCCCAGCGGACACAUACACAGUAACCCUCUAGCACAGGGGUGUCCAACCCUGUUAAUGGCGAUCAACUGUCCUGUAAAGUUUAGCUCCAACCCUACUCAAACACACCUGAACCAACUAAUGAAUGUCUUCAGGAUAGCUUGAAAAUUAAAAGUAGGUGUGACUGAUUAGAGUUGGAGCUGAACUUUGCAGGACCAGGAACAGGAUUGGACACACCUGAUUUAGCAGUUUGGAAUUAAGGCAUACAGCAAUGAAAGGGUUAAUCCGAACCAUCAAGAGACACACACACAACACAACAUAUAAAACUUAAGUAACACUUCCAAUAAGGUUUCAGUUAUUAACAUUAAUUAUAUUAAAUUUCAUUAACAACAAUUGUAUGGCAUUUAUUAAUGUGAGUCUCUCUCUAUCUGUCUUUCUCACUCACUCACACACACACACACACACACACACACACACACACACACACACAAAGAACUAUAUAUAUAGGAUAAGGAUUUAGUUUUUAACAUUAUAUAAGUUAACAUGUACAUCAUUUAUAUAGCAUUUAUGAAUCUUAGUUAAUGUUAUGUUCAAAAUGGAUUACUACAUUAUUAAUUACAAUUUAUAGUUAAUGUACAUCAGUUACUGUACCAUGAAUUAACAUAUUAUUUUUUUUUUACUAACACAAAGAAAUGCAGUAAAAAUAUGUUGUUAAUACUUAGCUUGUACUAAUGUUAAUGACUAUAUUAUUUAACUAUAUCAUUUAACACACACACAUAUAUGUUAAUUAAAGCUUAGGUAAAAAAUAUGAUCUAUAAACAUUUGUGAAAUGAUUAUAUAAAACUAUAUUAGCCGUCAAAUUCAUUAGCUUUUUAAAAUACAUAUUACUUUUCUUUGAAAGAUUUUUAUAAAUGAUUUAAAUGGUCUAUACACGUUUCUAAAACAAUUAUUUAAAAGUAAUCCUAUAGCGCCAUCUGGUGGUGGUCAUGAUUGGUAUUACACACUGCACGUUUGGUGUUGCUAUCUGAACCAGUCAGAAUGAAGUGCACCUAAAUGGAGCGCGAGAACAGAACAUAUGCUUCCGUAAAUCCAGGUUCACACGCUGUCUGUUAAUGCGUAUUUUUUCCGAGCCCAUGUUAAUGGAUCAGAGCGUUCACACUGCACACGGUAAAGGAAGUGAACAAAAAAGGUUAGAAAUAAAAAGGUGCGAAAAGAAUGAAUAUCUAGCUCAUGAGCACAGAGAGAGUUGUGAGUUCGCAGGACACAGUUUGAGCAGAUGAGACGCGUUUUAAGUGUGCGCGCUCUCUCCGAGCGAGAGCAGCAUGUAUAUGAGCACGCGUGUCUGUUUUUGUGACAAAGAAAAGGAAAUCUGUGUGCGAACGGAUAGAUUCGCGCUCGCGCAUUAUUUUAAUGUGCUUUCGCGUUACAAUAACUCGCUCUCGCUGCUGCUUCUGCACCGCAUACACAUACUGUAUACGCACUGCAGAGGAGUACGUGUGAACCUGUAUAAUGUAUAAAAAUCUAUUUCAACACGACGCACCACUACAAUGAGCUCUAUGACCAAUGCAUGACAAGAAAACAUGACUAAUAAUUCAGCACUCCUGAAUAUAAGGAGUUUUUCACUUCCAGUCUUCAAGGACAAUUAUAUAUCACUCAUAAAUGAUUAAAUACCAAAUGCAGGCGCGCUGGAAGCUGUUUCAUGCGGGGGGGGCUGAGGGCUGGGUUGGAAAAUAUGUGACGUCAUUAUGUUGUGACUGACGACAUGAAAUUUCUCUACUAGUCUUCUCCCCUGGCGUGAUUGUUACUGUUUUAUACACAAAAAUUGUACUGUUUAGGCUUUUUAAAAAAAAAAAAAAAAAAAAAAAAAAAAAUUUGGUAUGUGUUGUAGCCAUUAAAGAAAACAUAUUUGGUUUCAUAUUUGUUUAAAUAUUAUAGGCUAAUGUAAUUUUUUUAUUUAUUUAAUCAAUCUUUAUUAUGAAAGUGAGCAUGCAGCAUGAGAAAGAUAUGAUACAUCAUGCUCAAUAGCCUAUGAGACAUGGAGUGGGUAAGACAUGAUUUUGACCACUUUAUUGAGUUUUUGUUUUGUAGAAAGACUCUGUUUAAAAGAUUUUCGUUUUGUAUAAAUUGUAUCUUAAUUUUGAUCAAUAUUUUAUCAACCCAUUGCCUGUAUUUAAUAAACAAGCAAAUAUAUUAGCAGACAAUGUAAUAAGGUGCCGGCACAUCACUUGUAUUGCACGUGAACUGGAGGGCGCAGAAACUCAGCUUGUGCCUCACAGACAGUUUUGAGAAAUAUAGGCUAUCUAUUAUAGAAAGCUUAAAAAUGUCUACUUUUAAACGAAAAUAUUCAAAACGAAAAUAAAUAGGCUACUCUCUGAAUAUGUAGGCCUAAUCCAUAUGAAAUGUGCAUUUCUCUCUGGCGUUCAUGGCGAGUCCGCAUCGUCUUUGCAGCGACACAGAAAACACCAUUUUAUUAAUAAACAAUUAAAUGUCUGCUUGCUAUUUUUGACAAAUUCAUAAUCAUUUCUUCAGCCGGUUCUUUGUGGCAAAAUUAUGCAUGCGGUCGUGCGCUUGAGAGCGGCUAGUAAACGCCCAUUAUUCUGACGGUGACGGAAGCAUUCCUGAGGAGGCUAGGUUAGUCUUUUAUCAACGAAAUAUUAAAAUAAUUAAUCAUUAGUUUAUAUCUUAUACACUAUAUCUUAAUGCCACAUUAAACACAUUGUUAUGUCUGUUUUUUAUUUUUUUAUUUUUAUUUUUUUCACGUUUUUAAGUACAAUAUUAGGUUAGUCCACAGCCCCCCACCAGGGGGGGCUGAUGCUAUGACGGGGGGGGCUGCAGCCCCCGCAGCACCCCCCUUCCCGCGCCAUUGACCAAAUGUAUAGUAUUUAUUAAGAUUGAUGUGAUUUGGAAUUGGUAAAAUGUGCUUGGAAAAAAAUAUAAGAAUAUCAAUGUGACUAAUUAUUAUGCACUCAAUGAAAAAGCAUUUUUAAUGAUUUUAUUGAUUUAUAAGCAUUUGUAAAAUAUUUUUGCCUGCAUUACAGCUAAGUCUACGUUUUGUUUUUAUAUCUUUUUAUGUUGCAAUUAACAUAAUUCUUAACCUAAUUAUUUAAAAUCAUGUUGUCUGUGCCCUACAAAUUGUACUAAGUUUUUUUUUGUCCCUAAAACUGACAGAAAAGGAUAAGGCCUAAGAGAUUUCUUAAGCUGUAAUGAUAAAAAAAACAACAACAACACACAAUUACUGAUUUAUUUAUUUUUUCCUGGUGAUUAAAGAGAUGUUAACUCUCUCUCUGUCUCUCUCUGUCCCUCUCUCAGCCAGCACCCCCCUCCCCCUCCCUACCCUCACACCAGAGAGUGGUCUCAGAGUCAGAUCAGAUGUCAGACAGUUUUUUAAUUUUCUGUUAUCCAUACAGUGUUGUAAAGUCGUGAAACUAUGCAUAUUUCCUCAGAAUGACUUCUACUCUGUAUGAAAAAUGGUUUUGAAGUGUUUGCAAGUUGCAAUUUAAAAAUACAAGACAAGUAAUGUUUCCCUUUUUACUGUUAUUUCAAAAAAUCACCACGGCAAAACCGUUCAAGCUAUCCAAAAUCCAUUCGCAAUUUAGGUUCCUCAAUGUUUUGUCAUCAUGUAGACAAAGUUUGGUGUGUAUAGUGUAAUUUUCCUCUGAGCAGUAUGCAUUAAUUCACAGCAAUAUUUUUCCAAAAAUCCACAUUUAAACCAAAAUAGCCGACUUCCUGUUGGUCGUAGCUGAUGACUGUAAAUUAGAAAGUUGUCCGUCUUGAUAAGAACAAUAUAUGUACCGAGUUUGGUGUCUGUAGCUAAAACUAACCCCCCGACUUUUGACAAAAGGUGGCGCUAUAGAGUGCCUCAUCCACGCCCUUUCAUGUGCUUUUUCCAUUGUCUAGGUAUCAUUAAUACUGAUAUGUGUUUUGAGUUUCAUGUAAUUCUGAGCAUUUUAUCUGCCUCAAAAUCACCAGAAUAGAAUAUUCAAGUUUGAAGUGUUGCCAUGGCAACACUAUAUUAGAUAUCAAUAUCCCCACAACAGAUUUACAUCGGCCGUGUUUUGUCAUUAUUCUGAUGAAGUUUGAAGCAAAUCGAGUGAAAAUAAGAUGCUGAAUUCAAAGCAUUUUGAAAAUGACACACUUCCUGCUGCCAGUUGGUGGCGCUAUAACUUUGACUCCUAAUAGUCACAUCUAUGCGAUCGGCAUCAUACAUCGAACAAUCCGAUGAAGUU
This is a long non-coding RNA of Cyprinus carpio carpio, 4392 nucleotides long. NCBI's taxonomy places the organism in Eukaryota, Metazoa, Chordata, Actinopteri, Cypriniformes, Cyprinidae. The record is from Ensembl.